This 359-nucleotide ribosomal RNA is filed under the name uncultured Spirochaeta sp. RNAcentral describes it as "bacterial SSU rRNA". It matches the Rfam family "Bacterial small subunit ribosomal RNA", at positions 1021 to 1382 of the family's 1533-position model. The record is from RNAcentral. Lineage: Bacteria; Pseudomonadati; Spirochaetota; Spirochaetia; Spirochaetales; Spirochaetaceae.
UUGCGGUCUGUAUACAGGUGCUGCAUGGCUGUCGUCAGCUCGUGCUGUGAAGUGUUGGGUAAGUCCGCAACGAGCGCAACCCUAUCAUCUGUUGCCAGCAUUUAAGGUGGGGACUCAGAUGAGACUGCCGGUGGACAAACCGGAGGAAGGUGGGGACGACGUCAAGUCAUCAUGGCCCUUAUGUCCUGGGCUACACACGUGCUACAAUGGCCGGUACAGAGUGAAGCGAAACCGCGAGGUGAAGCAAAACGCAGAAAGCCGGUCUCAGUACGGAUUGGAGUCUGAAACUCGACUUCAUGAAGUUGGAAUCGCUAGUAAUCGCGCAUCAGCAUGGCGCGGUGAAUACGUUCCCGGGCCUU